UACGGAGGGUGCGAGCGUUAAUCGGAAUCACUGGGCGUAAAGCGCGCGUAGGCGGCUUUUCAAGUCAGGGGUGAAAUCCCACGGCCCAACCGUGGAACUGCCUUUGAAACUGUAGAGCUUGAGUGUCGGAGAGGGUGGCGGAAUUCCAGGUGUAGGAGUGAAAUCCGUAGAUAUCUGGAGGAACACCGGUGGCGAAGGCGGCCACCUGGACGACAACUGACGCUGAGGUGCGAAAGCGUGGGUAGCAAACAGGAUUAGAUACCCUAGUAGUCCGGAACUACAAGUG
RNAcentral lists this ribosomal RNA (286 nucleotides) under uncultured bacterium. RNAcentral's name for it is "partial 16S ribosomal RNA". It matches the Rfam family "Bacterial small subunit ribosomal RNA", at positions 524 to 808 of the family's 1533-position model. The record is from RNAcentral.